GUGAAUCAUCAAAUUUUUGAACGCAUAUUGCACUCUCUGGUAUUCCGGAGAGUAUGCCUAUUUGAGGGUCAUUUGAAUUAAUAUAACUUUUUCGAGAUGUUCUUGGAGUCAAAAAUGGGAGGGUCCAGCAUUCGUGUGGUGCUCGCCUAAAAUGCAAAACAAGCACAUUUCUUGGAUUGCGUGAUAGGUUCAGUUACCUCGUGACUACACAAGGAAUCUUUGAGCGAGUUGGAAAUUGUGC
This 241-nucleotide unclassified non-coding RNA is filed under the name Archaeospora sp. RNAcentral's name for it is "partial contains 5.8S ribosomal RNA and internal transcribed spacer 2". The stretch from base 1 to 71 matches the Rfam family "5.8S ribosomal RNA", at positions 84 to 154 of the family's 154-position model. The record is from RNAcentral. Lineage: Eukaryota; Fungi; Glomeromycota; Glomeromycetes; Archaeosporales; Archaeosporaceae.